This 509-nucleotide ribosomal RNA is filed under the name uncultured bacterium. Its description in RNAcentral is "partial 16S ribosomal RNA". It matches the Rfam family "Bacterial small subunit ribosomal RNA", at positions 28 to 523 of the family's 1533-position model. The record is from RNAcentral.
GACGAACGCUGGCGGCGCGCUUAAUACAUGCAAGUCGAGCGAGAACCAGGGCUUCGGCCCUGGGGACAGCGGCGGACGGGUGAGUAACACGUGGGUAAUCAACCCCCGACACCGGGAUAGCCCAGGGAAACUUGGAUUAAUACCGGAUGCCCCAUCUGGCUUUCGAGCCGGCUGGAAAAGGGUAGCUUCGGCCUCCGGUCGGGGACGAGCCCGCGGCGGAUUAGCUUGUUGGUGAGGUAAAGGGUCACCAAGGCGACGAUCCGUAGCUGGUCUGACAGGACGAUCAGCCACACUGGGACUGAGACACGGCGCAGACUCCUACGGGAGGCAGCAGUAGGGAAUCUUGCGCAAUGGGCGAAAGCCUGACGCAGCGACGCCGCGUGAGGGAAGAAGGCCUUCGGGUUGUAAGCCUCUUUCAGGAGGGACGAAGCCACUCGGGUUAAUAGCCUAGAGGGUGACGGUACCCCCAGAAGAAGCCCCGGCUAACUACGUGCCAGCCGCCGCGGUAA